Molecule: ribosomal RNA, 457 nt
Filed under: uncultured bacterium
Lineage: Bacteria
Description: SSU rRNA
Rfam family: Bacterial small subunit ribosomal RNA
Source: RNAcentral
AGAACGAACGCUGGCGGCAUGCCUAACACAUGCAAGUCGAACGAGACCCCCGUCUUCGGAUGGCGGGUCUAGUGGCGCACGGGUGCGUAACGCGUGGGAAUCUGCCCUUGGGUACGGAAUAACAGCGAGAAAUUGCUGCUAAUACCGUAUAAUGACUUCGGUCCAAAGAUUUAUCGCCAAGGGAUGAGCCCGCGUAGGAUUAGCUUGUUGGUGAGGUAAAAGCUCACCAAGGCGACGAUCCUUAGCUGGUCUGAGAGGAUGAUCAGCCACACUGGGACUGAGACACGGCCCAGACUCCUACGGGAGGCAGCAGUGGGGAAUAUUGGACAAUGGGCGAAAGCCUGAUCCAGCAAUGCCGCGUGAGUGAUGAAGGCCUUAGGGUUGUAAAGCUCUUUUACCCGGGAUGAUAAUGACAGUACCGGAGAAUAAGCUCGGCUAACUCCGUGCCAGCAGCCGC